This 931-nucleotide ribosomal RNA is filed under the name Clostridioides difficile. Its description in RNAcentral is "partial 23S ribosomal RNA". It matches the Rfam family "Bacterial large subunit ribosomal RNA", at positions 1152 to 2101 of the family's 2925-position model. The record is from RNAcentral. Lineage: Bacteria; Bacillati; Bacillota; Clostridia; Peptostreptococcales; Peptostreptococcaceae.
AGUGAUCCUGCGCCGAAGAUUUCCGGGGCUAAAACUUACUACCGAAGCUACGGCAUCAGUAAUGAUGGGUAGGGGAGCUUCCCAUACGGGUUGAAGCAUGACCGUAAGGACAUGUGGACAGUAUGGGAGUGAGAAUGUUGGCAUGAGUAGCGAGAUGUGGGUGAGAAUCCCACAGGCCGUAAACCCAAGGUUUCCAGGGGAAGGUUCGUCCGCCCUGGGUUAGUCGGGACCUAAGCUGAGGCCGAAAGGCGUAGGUGAUGGACAACAGGUUGAUAUUCCUGUACUACCGAUAACCGUUUGAGAGAAGGGAUGACACAGUAGGAUAAGCUAAGCACACUGUUGGUUAUGUGUGCCCAAGCAUUGAGGCAGUCAAAGUAGGCAAAUCCGCUUUGAUAAUGCUGGGAUGUGAUGGGGAGCGAAAUUUAGUAGCGAAGUAGCUGAUUUCACACUGUCAAGAAAAGUCUCUAUCGAGGUUAAAGGUACCCGUACCGCAAACCGACACAGGUGGGUGAGGAGAGUAUCCUAAGGCCAGCGAGAGAACUGUUGUUAAGGAACUCGGCAAAAUGACCCCGUAACUUAGGGAUAAGGGGUGCCACCAUCAGGUGGCCGCAGAGAAUAGGCCCAAGCGACUGUUUACCAAAAACAUAGGUUUCUGCUAAGUCGCAAGACGAUGUAUAGGAGCUGACGCCUGCCCGGUGCUGGAAGGUUAAGGGGAUCUGUUAGAGCAAUCGAAGCAGUGAACUUAAGCCCCAGUAAACGGCGGCCGUAACUAUAACGGUCCUAAGGUAGCGAAAUUCCUUGUCGGGUAAGUUCCGACCCGCACGAAAGGCGUAACGAUUUGGGCACUGUCUCAACAACAGACUCGGUGAAAUUGUAAUUCCGGUGAAGAUGCCGGAUACCUGCGACAGGACGGAAAGACCCCAUGGAGCUU